CAUUGAAUUAUUAUUAUUUAAUUACUUUUCAUGAUUAAUUAUGUUUAAUUAUAACGGUCUUGUAAUUGGAAUUUAUGGUCAUUUGUAUGUACGCAUUCGGGAUUUACACAUUGUGAAAUUAUUCAGUACACAUCAUAGAAUUGUUAUCGUUUUUGGCUGCACUAUCGGUGCGAAAACAAGUUUUCGCGUUCAAAUCUUGCAGAGGCCGCGCGUUGCUGCCGACUACAUUACUCGGCUGUCAAAAUUGAACGGGAACCCGCAGGAAAGCCAUUUUUGCAUUAAAUUGGCUGUAAGAAUUGAACGGGAAUUUGCAGGACCACCAUUUUUUUAUUAAAUUGGCUGUAAAAAUUGAACGGGAAUUUGCAGGAGGGCCAUUUUUGCAUUAAAUUGGCUGUAAAAAUUGAACGGGAAUUUGCAGGAGGGCCAUUUUUGCAUUAAAUUGGCUGUAAAAAUUGAACGGGAAUUUGCAGGACCACCAUUUUUUUAUUAAAUUGGCUGUAAAAAUUGAACGGGAAUUUA
This is a long non-coding RNA of Dalotia coriaria, 519 nucleotides long. RefSeq lists it as uncharacterized. The transcript is spliced from 7 exons. Lineage: Eukaryota; Metazoa; Arthropoda; Insecta; Coleoptera; Staphylinidae. The record is from RefSeq and is a predicted model, not a curated record.